GACCCGAAACCCGGUGAUCUAGCCAUGGGCAGGUUGAAGGUUGGGUAACACUAACUGGAGGACCGAACCGACUAAUGUUGAAAAAUUAGCGGAUGACUUGUGGCUGGGGGUGAAAGGCCAAUCAAACCGGGAGAUAGCUGGUUCUCCCCGAAAGCUAUUUAGGUAGCGCCUCGUGAAUUCAUCUCCGGGGGUAGAGCACUGUUUCGGCAAGGGGGUCAUCC
This 221-nucleotide ribosomal RNA is filed under the name Shigella flexneri. RNAcentral describes it as "partial 23S ribosomal RNA". It matches the Rfam family "Bacterial large subunit ribosomal RNA", at positions 712 to 932 of the family's 2925-position model. The record is from RNAcentral. Lineage: Bacteria; Pseudomonadati; Pseudomonadota; Gammaproteobacteria; Enterobacterales; Enterobacteriaceae.